RNAcentral lists this long non-coding RNA (1680 nucleotides) under Salmo salar (Atlantic salmon). Its description in RNAcentral is "lncRNA (ENSSSAG00000088335.1)". The record is from RNAcentral. Lineage: Eukaryota; Metazoa; Chordata; Actinopteri; Salmoniformes; Salmonidae.
CUCAUCAGUAGUGAUCAUGUCCUUAGUGCUGUCAGGUGUCAGGGCCAUGUCAAGAGUGGAGGUCUGGGUAAUGGAGUCUGACGUGUGAACAUCUAUCAUGGUCUCCGAUGAGACCGUGGAGAUCUGGCUCUGAGAGGUGGCAGUGGUCUGUGAGUCUGUGUUCAUAUCUGUUGUCUGUGUUUCCAUCUGUGCGUGUGUCGAAGUGUUGGUAGAGGAUGGCUUUCUCUCUGUCCUAGUUGCCAUAGACGAGGUGGUCAGAGGGACUCCAGGUAGCUGCCACUCCAGCGGGAGGAUGGCCAGGCUCCUAGCCAGGGAAAACUGAGAGAGGGAGCUCUACACGGAGGAAAAGGGUGGUUAGGUUGAGGUCAUAGGGGAAAUUGUCUAGAUGUUUGAAUCUUUGUCUGUCCGUAUAGUAAUUUAGUUUUCAGUAACUUACGUGGGCACGUGGUAGAGUCGGAGAGUCAGGUCUUAUGUAAAUUUCCUCCACAGGGGUCUUCACUUGCCGGGGUGUCAUUCGAUUUUCCUGCAUGACACAAUUGUAACACCCAAUGAUGACAGCAUUAUGGGAAAGAUCUGCUCACAAUAAAAUAUGAUAUAGCAUGUUUGGUUGUCUCACAGAGUUAGGUCUUUGUCCCGAAUUAGUUCCCUUGUCUGUUUCUGGUGUUGUACUUAUGGGUUUGUGGUCUUGAGAUGAUUUCAACAGCUGAACUUCAGUCUGGUCUUUCUCCCUCCCCACCUUUCCCUUACUCUUGUCCUUUACCCUUUUGGUUGUAACAUCACCUCCAGACAAGUCCGAGCCUGUGUAGAUUAGACAUUUUGAUUUUGAAGACACUUUCUUCCAAGUGGAGCCAAUCUCAAUCUAUAUCUAAUCAACAGACACCCCAUAACACUCACCAGUAUCAGAUGCAUUAUCUUUGUCCUGGUCCUUUCUAUUCUGUCUGUUCUGAGAGGGACGAGUCUUCCUCAGCUUGACUUUCCCACCACAGCAGAAGAGAGUGAACAGCUGCAGGGCCGCCACAGCUGGAUGGAUGCUCUUCUUCUCUUUCUGCUGGGUCUCCUUUGCUUUCUCCUUGGGGGAGACCUCAGUGUCGCAAUCAGUACAUCAGUUAGAAAUCUACUGAUAUUUCAAACUACAAUAUCAAUGUUGAAUAUAUGUAGCCAAUGAGCUCUAGCUUGAUUGGCAGCAAAUAUUAUUUCCUAAGUGUGUUUCCAUGUCAUAAUGUUACCCCAUAAUAACUAGGGUUAGUGCUGUCCGUGAUCCUUGGGACGUCCCUACCCUAAACCCUAACCUUAACCCCUACCUUAACCUUAACCCUUACCUUAACCAUUUCAAUUUCAAACGUCAAAGGUCAGAGUUGACUUUUCCUAAUAACUAUUAGGGGCUAUCCCAUCCGAAGGGGCAUUGUGACAUUAUCACAUUUGUCAAGCCUUGUCAAAGGAUUAAAAUCAACACAAUAUGCUGUGUUUUCCUUAUUGUGGUCAUUAUCAGCUGUCAAAUGCAUUGGUAAAUCCUCAUUAAUAAGCACAUUUUGAUGUCUUACCGAGUUAGGUCUUUGUUUAAUGUAUUUUUCUUUUUCCGGUGUGGUUCUGCAUUUGUGGUCCUGAGAUUCAAUGCAAUGUUUCUCUCCCCCAACCUUUCCUUUACUCUUGUCCUUGAUCCUUUUCACGUCACCUGCAGAG